GGGCCGAUAGCAUAAUAGGUUAAUGCACUCGACUCAUAAUCGGAAGACGGAGCGGUUCAAAUCCCUUGGCCUACCA
RNAcentral lists this transfer RNA (76 nucleotides) under Gammaproteobacteria bacterium. Its description in RNAcentral is "tRNA-Ile". It matches the Rfam family "tRNA". Rfam says of the family: Transfer RNA (tRNA) molecules are approximately 80 nucleotides in length. Their secondary structure includes four short double-helical elements and three loops (D, anti-codon, and T loops). The record is from RNAcentral. Lineage: Bacteria; Pseudomonadati; Pseudomonadota; Gammaproteobacteria.